ACCCUGCUAGCUCAAUUGGCAGAGCGUGAGACUCUUAUUUGCAUUGGAUGUAUGGAAUGUAGAUGGUUAUCUCAAGGUUGGGGGUUCGAGACCCCCGUGGGGUG
Molecule: transfer RNA, 104 nt
Filed under: Lipomyces starkeyi
Lineage: Eukaryota; Fungi; Ascomycota; Lipomycetes; Lipomycetales; Lipomycetaceae
Also listed under: 1 other name
Description: tRNA-Lys
Rfam family: tRNA
About the family: Transfer RNA (tRNA) molecules are approximately 80 nucleotides in length. Their secondary structure includes four short double-helical elements and three loops (D, anti-codon, and T loops).
Source: RNAcentral